GGAGGGAUGCGAGAGCGGCCGAAUCGGUACGAUUGGAAGUCGUAUGAGGGGCAACCCUCCGUGGGUUCAAAUCCCACUCCCUCCG
Molecule: transfer RNA, 85 nt
Filed under: Acidimicrobiales bacterium
Lineage: Bacteria; Bacillati; Actinomycetota; Acidimicrobiia; Acidimicrobiales
Also listed under: 1 other name
Description: tRNA-Ser
Rfam family: tRNA
About the family: Transfer RNA (tRNA) molecules are approximately 80 nucleotides in length.
Source: RNAcentral